Long non-coding RNA from Cynoglossus semilaevis (tongue sole), 198 nucleotides. RefSeq lists it as uncharacterized. The record is from RefSeq and is a predicted model, not a curated record. NCBI's taxonomy places the organism in Eukaryota, Metazoa, Chordata, Actinopteri, Pleuronectiformes, Cynoglossidae. The transcript has 3 exons.
CAUGUCUUAUCACAUGUUGAUAUUAGUCUGAACACUGAUCAACUGUUUUUUCAUUGGUUUGUUACAGUAAAAGAAUUCAUUGAUCACGCAUGUUGUUUUCAGGAGUGCACAGCUGAAGAUAGAAAGAAUUAUGAGAAGCGGAAAUGUGACGAAACAGAAGGACAUGCUUUAGAAGAUGAAACAUCAGUAGGGACGAAC